Molecule: ribosomal RNA, 497 nt
Filed under: uncultured bacterium
Lineage: Bacteria
Description: partial 16S ribosomal RNA
Rfam family: Bacterial small subunit ribosomal RNA
Source: RNAcentral
GAUGAACGCUGGCGGCGUGCCUAAUACAUGCAAGUCGAGCGAACGGACGAGACGCUUGCUUCUCUGAUGUUAGCGGCGGACGGGUGAGUAACACGUGGAUAACCUACCUAUCAGACUGGGAUAACUUCGGGAAACCGUAGCUAAUACCGGAUAAUAUUUUGAACCGCAUGGUUCAAAAGUGAAAGACGGUCUUGCUGUCACUUAUAGAUGGAUCCGCGCUGCAUUAGCUAGUUGGUAAGGUAACGGCUUACCAUGGCAACGAUGCAUAGCCGACCUGAGAGGGUGAUCGGCCACACUGGAACUGAGACACGGUCCAGACUCCUACGGGAGGCAGCAGUAGGGAAUCUUCCGCAAUGGGCGAAAGCCUGACGGAGCAACGCCGCGUGAGUGAUGAAGGUCUUCGGAUCGUAAAACUCUGUUAUUAGGGAAGAACAUAUGUGUAAGUAACUGUGCACAUCGUGACGGUACCUAAUCAGAAAGCCACGGCUAACUACGUG